GUCAACUCUUCUUAACUCCUCCCUUAGGCACUUCACCUCCACAAAGGCCUCGGUACAAGCCCUUUCCCUUUCCAAGGCUCUUAACCUUGUGGUCGUGGGUUCGAGCCCUACGGUGGAUGCCAAUAUUGCGAUCAAGGACUCAUGGCUCAGAUAGAUAGGAUGGAUCAUUUCUCUAUACUUGUCCGCAUGAGAUAUUGUCUGUUUUGACCAGCCCAUGGCAUCGGACCUUACAGUUUUACCCUUUAAAAAGUACCUCACCAAGGGAAGAGAUGGCUUCGAUCCUAUAUAAGCCAAAAUCCUUCUCG
This 305-nucleotide long non-coding RNA is filed under the name Elaeis guineensis (African oil palm). RNAcentral describes it as "long non-coding RNA (EGUI_LNC009720)". Lineage: Eukaryota; Viridiplantae; Streptophyta; Magnoliopsida; Arecales; Arecaceae. The record is from RNAcentral.